RNAcentral lists this transfer RNA (73 nucleotides) under Ailuropoda melanoleuca (giant panda). It matches the Rfam family "tRNA". From Rfam's summary of the family: Transfer RNA (tRNA) molecules are approximately 80 nucleotides in length. Their secondary structure includes four short double-helical elements and three loops (D, anti-codon, and T loops). Lineage: Eukaryota; Metazoa; Chordata; Mammalia; Carnivora; Ursidae. The record is from Rfam by way of RNAcentral.
ACCUGGUUGGCUCAGUCAGAAGAACGUGUGACUCUUGAUCUUAAGGUUGUGAGUUCAAGCCCCACACUGGGUG